RNAcentral lists this ribosomal RNA (1113 nucleotides) under Microbacterium sp. BK16. Its description in RNAcentral is "bacterial SSU rRNA". It matches the Rfam family "Bacterial small subunit ribosomal RNA", at positions 191 to 1314 of the family's 1533-position model. The record is from RNAcentral. Lineage: Bacteria; Bacillati; Actinomycetota; Actinomycetes; Micrococcales; Microbacteriaceae.
AUCUGCGUUUGGAAAGAUUUUUCGGUUGGGGAUGGGCUCGCGGCCUAUCAGCUUGUUGGUGAGGUAAUGGCUCACCAAGGCGUCGACGGGUAGCCGGCCUGAGAGGGUGACCGGCCACACUGGGACUGAGACACGGCCCACACUCCUACGGGAGGCAGCAGUGGGGAAUAUUGCACAAUGGGCGGAAGCCUGAUGCAGCAACGCCGCGUGAGGGAUGACGGCCUUCGGGUUGUAAACCUCUUUUAGCAGGUAAGAAGCGAAAGUGACGGUACCUGCAGAAAAAGCGCCGGCUAACUACGUGCCAGCAGCCGCGGUAAUACGUAGGGCGCAAGCGUUAUCCGGAAUUAUUGGGCGUAAAGAGCUCGUAGGCGGUUGUGUCGCGUCUGCUGUGAAAUCCCGAGGCUCAACCUCGGGCCUGCAGUGGGUACGGGCAGACUAGAGUGCGGUAGGGGVAGAUUGGAAUUCCUGGUGUAGCGGUGGAAUGCGCAGAUAUCAGGAGGAACACCGAUGGCGAAGGCAGAUCUCUGGGCCGUAACUGACGCUGAGGAGCGAAAGGGUGGGGAGCAAACAGGCUUAGAUACCCUGGUAGUCCACCCCGGUAAAACGUUGGGAACCUAGUUGUGGGGUCCAUUCCACGGAUUCGUGACGCAGCUACGCAUUAAGUUCCCGCCCUGGGGAGUCGGCCGCAUGGCUAAAACUAAAGGAAUUGACGGGGACCCGCACAAGCGGCGGAGCAUCGGAUUAAUUCGAAUCAACGCGAAGAACCUUACCAAGGCUUGACAUAUACGAGAACGGGCCAGAAAUGGUCAACUCUUUGGACACUCGUAAACAGGUGGUGCAUGGUUGUCGUCAGCUCGUGUCGUGAGAUGUUGGGUUAAGUCCCGGCAACGAGCGCAACCCUCGUUCUAUGUUGCCAGCACGUAAUGGUGGGAACUCAUGGGAUACUGCCGGGGUCAACUCGGAGGAACGGUGGGGAUGACGUCAAAUCAUCAUGCCCCUUAUGUCUCUGGGCUUCACGCAUGCUACAAUGGCCGGUACAAAGGGCUGCAAUACCGUGAGGUGGAGGCGAAUCCCAAAAAGCCGGUCCCAGUUCGGAUUGAGGUCUGCAACUCG